UUCACCAUACACUAGGCCUAGGCUCUGAUACCACUUGAAGGAUAAAUUUUGUCCUAGCUAAGAACAAGUAUGAACAUUUGAAUACACAUGCAAGCUAUCAACACUUUAAAGUAGGCAUGCAUUCAAAAACAAUUCAUAAAACCCAUGACUUUCAAAGCCUAGUAUAUGGUGAACCAAAAUAAACUCUUUAACUACAUUAAAGAGAAGUAAAGAUUUAGUGAUUCUUUACCCUUGAAGCUCAUCCUUGAUUACACAAGGGAUUCACCCAAGUGGAGGGCCUUCAAGUCACCUCCAAGCUUCUUGAAUCCUCCUUGUGUUUUCCUCCCUUUAGUGCUCCUUUGAUGAUUUGAGGAAAAAGGAUUUGUUCUCCAAA
Molecule: long non-coding RNA, 373 nt
Filed under: Malus domestica (apple)
Lineage: Eukaryota; Viridiplantae; Streptophyta; Magnoliopsida; Rosales; Rosaceae
Description: long non-coding RNA (MDOM_LNC019561)
Source: RNAcentral